GUGAAAACGACGCUUUCUCUUGCUUGUUAAUGCGAAAAUAGAGCAGAGUAGAAAGUUUUACGAUGGCUAUGGCAAGUGUUGUUGGUGAAUCAGAAAUUGAGGAGAAUGAGAUAAUGAAAAUGGGAUCCUACGGAGGGAAGGUGAAGGUGUUGAGGGACGAUCAAGAAUCUCCUGCCGAGGAGAUAAUGCUCCUCUGGGGAAUCCAACAACCUACUCUUUCUAAACCCAAUUCUUUCGUCUCCCAAUUCUCUCUCCAACUCCGCCUUGAUGCUUGUGGCCGCUCUCUCUCCAUUCUCCAGUCUCCUUCUUCUUUGGGUGCACCUGGAGUAACUGGUUCAGUGAUGUGGGAUAGUGGGGUUGUAUUGGGGAAAUUCUUGGAGCAUGCUGUGGAUUCCAAGUUGCUUAUGCUUCAAGGAAAGAAGGUUGUUGAGUUGGGUGCAGGAUGUGGAUUGGUAGGCUGCAUUGCAGCUCUGUUGGGUGCUCAAGUUACACUCACUGAUCUCCCUGAUAGAUUGAGGCUACUGAAGAAGAAUAUUGAAUCCAAUCUGAGAGAUGGAGAUUUGCGAGGCUUUGCAGUUGUGAGAGAACUCGUAUGGGGGGAUGAGCCUGACCAAGAUUUGGUGGAACCUGUACCCGAUUACAUUUUAGGCUCCGAUGUGAUUUAUAGUGAAGAGGCUGUGAUGGAUUUGUUGGACACAUUAAUGCAACUAUGUGGAAUCCAAACAACAAUAUUUUUGGCUGGAGAACUUCGGAAUGAUACUGUACUUGAAUACUUCUUGGAGGCUGCAAUGAAGAAUUUUAUGGUUGGCCGUGUGGAGCAGACACAGUGGCAUCCAGAUUACUGGAGCUGUCGGAUGGUGUUGUAUGUUCUGACAAAGAAAUGAGUUCAGCCAGUGAAAGUUACAUGAAAGUAUCAUGUUGUUAUAUUUGCUUAUUUAUGUGGUGAGUUUUGGGGCAAGGUUGAUAGUAGCACAUCAGUUCUGUACUGCGUACUUGUGCGUUUAGACUUGAUAAAGCUCAUUUUGCAUGUGCCUUUCGCUGGCUGAACUCAUUUCUUUGUC
This 1061-nucleotide unclassified non-coding RNA is filed under the name Hevea brasiliensis (rubber tree). The record is from RNAcentral. Lineage: Eukaryota; Viridiplantae; Streptophyta; Magnoliopsida; Malpighiales; Euphorbiaceae.